This is a transfer RNA of Fistulifera solaris, 72 nucleotides long. It matches the Rfam family "tRNA". Rfam says of the family: Transfer RNA (tRNA) molecules are approximately 80 nucleotides in length. Their secondary structure includes four short double-helical elements and three loops (D, anti-codon, and T loops). The record is from Rfam. Lineage: Eukaryota; Bacillariophyta; Bacillariophyceae; Naviculales; Stauroneidaceae.
GCUGAUGUGGCGCAGUGGUAACGCAUUUGACUUGUAAUCAAAAGAUCCCCGGUUCAAUCCCGGGCAUCAGCU